RNAcentral lists this ribosomal RNA (441 nucleotides) under uncultured bacterium. Its description in RNAcentral is "partial 16S ribosomal RNA". It matches the Rfam family "Bacterial small subunit ribosomal RNA", at positions 338 to 795 of the family's 1533-position model. The record is from RNAcentral.
CCUACGGGAGGCAGCAGUGGGGAAUAUUGCACAAUGGGGGAAACCCUGAUGCAGCAACGCCGCGUGAGCGAGGAAGUAUUUCGGUAUGUAAAGCUCUGUCAGCAGGGACGAAAAAAGACGGUACCUGACUAAGAAGCCCCGACUAACUACGUGCCAGCAGCCGCGGUAAUACGUAGGGGGCAAGCGUUUUUCGGAUUUACUGGGUGUAAAGGAUGCGUAGACGGCAAGACAAGCUAGAAGUUAAAUGGCAGGGCUCAACCCGGUACAUGCUUUUGAAACUGUGGAGCUAGAGUGCAGGAGAGGUAAGUGGAAUUCCUAGUGUAGCGGUGAAAUGCGUAGAUAUUAGGAGGAACACCAGUGGCGAAGGCGGCUUACUGGACUGUAACUGACGUUGAGGCUCGAGAGCGUGGGGAGCAAACAGGAUUAGAUACCCGUGUAGUC